Molecule: long non-coding RNA, 4047 nt
Organism: Solanum pennellii
Lineage: Eukaryota; Viridiplantae; Streptophyta; Magnoliopsida; Solanales; Solanaceae
Exons: 2
Source: RefSeq, a predicted model, not a curated record
UUCUCCUAUCUGUGACAAAUUUUAUUGUUUCGGUUACACCCCCGAUUAAUUGGUUAUUUCUUUUCAGCGCCCUCCCAAUUUUCAGUCCUCUGCUUUCCGCUUCAGCUCCCCAAACUCGCCGGCGAAUACAUCGGAAUUAUACCUUCCUUACAGUUCUCUUUUGUCUCUAUUGUACAUCCAUGAGCCAUUAUUCAGUCGGAACACUAAGCUUUAGUCUAUGUGUAGUGUUUGAUGUAAAUUGAUGCAGCUCGAGAUGACUAAAACUGGCAUUUCAAUGGUUUCUCCGUCUUCCGAAUCUGUUUAUGUCCUCCGCCGGCCGAACUUCAGCCUUGUCCGCUUCUAGAAGAUCAGAGGUUCCUCUGCUUACCCCAGGAAGACGUUAUUAUCAAAACUAUGUCGUAUCGCUGUGGGUAAUUACUCUUUCCGUAUUUGCUUACUGAAGUUGUUUAACUUAACCUAGAGAAUUUGGGGAAAGUGAUUAGGGAGUGUUUGGAGGUUGCGGAUUAGGGUAGAAUGUUAAAUAGUAAUCGAGCGUUCCUUGCUUGAUAGGCUUAGUGGUCCUUUCUUCUCAGUGGUAGUAUUAGCUCUAUUCUAGUUAUUUCUUGUUUUGCCAUUCGGCUAUUUCGGUUCGAUUAUUGUACUAUUUUGUUGUUGUUACUGUAUUUCUCCUGCUUGUUGUGUAAUGCUUCCCAUUUUGCAUUAUUUCUUUGUUGUUAUUACACGCAUAUGUGUAUCCCCUUUUACAAAGUAUUUGGCAUGCUUUAUUUAAGCUUAGGGUAUAUUGCAAGUAGCCUAUCUACCUAUAUGAGGUACAGUAAGGUGUGUGUACACUCAACCUGCCCUUGACCUCACUUGUGCGAUUUUACUAUGUAUGUUGUUGUUGUUUGAUUGCCGUGAAGAGUUUAAUCGGCAGUGUCAUGCUCUUAGUAUGAUCUAGUUUGGUGUUACUUUUACGAGAUUGUCUUGCUACUACUUCAUUCGGGGUUGUGAAAUUAAAGUAGAGUUAAAACCAAAGUCUGCUUGAAAAAUAGAGCAGCUAUUAAAUAGUAUUACUUUUACUUAUCAGAAAAAUUCCUUCUUUAUUAUGGAGUCAAAUUUUUCGGUACUUGAACAUCAGUCUAGUAGUUUAGAUCAUAAGCUAUCUGCUCAGACAGAAUCUUAACUUUGAUAAGCUUAAUCAGGAACUAAGAAGUCUUCAGGAGAGUGAGUAUGCAUGGCCUCUUAGGUAUUCUUUGUGAAUUUUUCGGAGCCUGUUCAAAGCAUUUUUGGUGCAGGAAGAAAACUUUAGCACAUUGUUGGCAUCACGUGCCACACUCAGACAUAAAUCUGUUAUAGUUACUAAUUCUGCAUCUAUUGGAAGUGAAAUCUUUUGGAUCAGUCUAUGCAGCAAAAUGUUAGUUGAUAUCCAAAUUAUAUGUGGAAAUUUAAGCUUUGGGUUACAGCCUAAGUUGCGCGGACUCUUUGCUUUUGAGGCCGCACUCAUGUUGGAUUCUUCAAAAAUACACUACUUUUGGAGAAUCUAACACACACACGUUAGACAUUUUUGAAGACUCUGAGCAACAUAGGUUAUAGCUACCCCAAAAUCUAAAUGAUGUAAACUUCCUAUGGGAAUCAUUUGGGGUUAAAUUGCUUGGUGAACCCCCAACGUAGAUUUGCUCAAGACCCAAUCACAAUUAUUUUGUAUUUUAGAAAUUGCACUGGGGUUGGAGAGGAGAGCUGUGCGUGGAUGGAAUUUGGGGAAGUGCCUCUUGUAGCAAAGUUGGGAAGCACAAUCAUAUUUCCUCUGGUUUACAAUAGAAACAAUAAAUAUAGUCUUCAUCAAAAAUAAUAAAUAUUGUGUAGAACCAUUUCAUUUGUCUAACAUUUACCUAUUUGCUCUAUUGGUGUCCUUUAUAACUUUUUUAUGGAGCUCUUCAACUAUCAUUAUUAUAAACUAUGCCUCAUAGAAAGUAAUUAUGAGCUGGCUUUGAGGCUUUAGGUUCUCAACCACUUGGAAAACUUUGGUUUAAGCUUGUAAUCUAGAAUAAACCCAACAAAUUUUUCUUGGCUAGUGGAUGGUGGCCUCAAGUUUUCAUUAUGACUGUUAGAAUGUGCUUUCAGCCAGAAGUGUAAUCCAUUGCUCGCUGAUUGAUAAACUCCUAUGAUCAGGUCUAACAAGGAAAUAAAGGUUUUGACAAGGAAUAAUGUGAUACUGCUCCAAUUUUGGAAUAGUGACAAAAUUUUAAGUACUCUAUCAACCUUAGGUUCUUCUACUAACCAUAAACUUAAACCUAUGUUUGGUGGGAAAACAAAAAUCAGCAAAUUGAUUGGGCUACUAGCUAUAACCAGAUUACUUUACUUAAUGCUUGUUUAUGCAAUCUUGUACAAGUUGUUCUAUCUCCUGCAAUUUACUCGUUUGUAUGACAAUAUUUAAUAAGUCGCCAUUAAUGUAUCAUCAUGUAAGUGUUUUUGUUUUAUUAUCAUUAGUUGGAUUUUGUCAGUCCUAGAAAUAAUAAAAAAAAAUAUUAUUUCUGUGCUGGCAGCUAUAUCCUUCUUUACUUACUGUAGAUAGUUUUUUAUGGCUGUGGUGUCUGGGACAACUUUUGUGCACCUCGACUAAUUCUGUUGAUACCUCCCGCCUCCCACCAACAUAUACCAAGUAACUUUGUCCAUAAAGGCUAGAUCACCUAGUGUUUAUUGUUUCCGUUGGGAAUGAAAUUGAAUCUAAGACCUCAUGGUUCUUAACCACUUUAUUGACCACUAGGCCACACCCUUGGGUGCUACUGAAGAUAGUAUGUCAUCAUUUAUAGUUGAAUAGUUGAUGAAAUCCAUGAUCUUAAGAUUGCUUCUUUAAACAAUUUAACAAUGGUCCUUCCUGCUCUAUCCUAUAAAAGUAGAAGAUAGUACUAUCGAAAAUGGGGAUGAUGAGAUUGAUGUGUAGGCAUAAGAGGAGGGCUAGGAUUAGGAACAACAAUAUUUGGGACAAGGUAUGAAUGACCUCUGUUGUGGAAAAGAUGAAAGCGAGAUGGUUUGGACAUAUGCAAAGGAGAUGCAUAUAUGCUCUAGUGAUAAGUUCUAAUAGAAACCAGUUGUUAGUUUAUAGUGUUAAACUGAAAAUUAAUCCCAUGAUGAACAUAAACAUUCACUUUUGUUGCCACAUAAUAGCAACACAAACAAUGUAGUAGACUCGUCAAAUAUGUACUAGAAAACUUUAUCAAUACAAAACUUUAUCAAUACAUGUUGAUUCUCAUUCAAGAAAAGGUAGCGUUAGAUGAUUAAUUCAUUAUUAUUGGAAGUCUACAAACAAAUCCAAAGUGUCUAGAAACUACAUGCUAAUCUUGUGGUUAGACACUCUGAAUUUGUUUGCAGGCUUCCAACAAUAAUGAAUUAAUCACCUAAGGCUUGUAUGGUCAACCUCUCUUCUUAAUUGAGAAUCAACAUUUAUCUAUAAAGUCAUAGUUUUUCCUACUGGUUCGAUGAUUCUACUACCUUCUUUGUGUUGCUAUUAUGUGCUUCAAAAGUGACUGUUUAAGUUUGUCAUGGGUAUAAUGUUCAGUUUGGCGUUAAUAGGCUAACAAUCAGUUUCUGUUAGAAUACUCAGUCCUGAAUUUCCUUAAUUAAAAGCAGCAGUAAUUCGUACAUGAUUGAAUUUGCUGUCAAUUGUUUACAGGAAACAUAUUUGAUGUAAAAACGACUAAAGAUGGAGAAACCUCAAAAGUGAGCAGGUUUCCUGGUCACCAGUCCUAUGCAAACUUUAAUGAUGGAAGCAGUAGCGCGUCAACACCAUAUUCUACGAGUGAAACUCCAUCAAAUGUUCGUAAGAGGAAGUACUUUUCGAAGAGAUUCUCAUAUUUAUUUUAGAAUUUCAUCCCUUUUAUUGUGGUGUCCUCUUAAUCGGUAUUAGAGACAUUUUUAUUACUGUGUAAUAAGUAUAAAUCUAGUCAAACAGGGCUAUAAAUAUAAUACACCAUUUGCAAUGUUGUCUACUACAGUAAUUGAAUUCAGCUACAGUAUUCGAACAACUCCACCAAAAUUUAAAAUUAUAAAGUCAUUCAAAAGGUUUACUGA